RNAcentral lists this ribosomal RNA (253 nucleotides) under uncultured bacterium. RNAcentral's name for it is "partial 16S ribosomal RNA". It matches the Rfam family "Bacterial small subunit ribosomal RNA", at positions 524 to 776 of the family's 1533-position model. The record is from RNAcentral.
GACAGAGGGUGCAAACGUUGUUCGGAUUUACUGGGCGUAAAGGGCGCGUAGGCGGCGUGACAAGUCACUUGUGAAAUCUCCGGGCUUAACUCGGAGCGGUCAAGUGAUACUGUCGUGCUAGAGUGCGGAAGGGGCUACUGGAAUUCUCGGUGUAGCGGUGAAAUGCGUAGAUAUCGAGAGGAACACCUGCGGCGAAGGCGGGUAGCUGGGCCGACACUGACGCUGAUGCGCGAAAGCCAGGGGAGCGAACGGG